GGAAAAGAAAUCAACCGAGAUUCCCCCAGUAGCGGCGAGCGAACGGGGAGGAGCCCAGAGCCUGAAUCAGUGUGUGUGUUAGUGGAAGCGUCUGGAAAGGCGCGCGAUACAGGGUGACAGCCCCGUACACAAAAAUGCACAUGCUGUGAGCUCGAUGAGUAGGGCGGGACACGUGGUAUCCUGUCUGAAUAUGGGGGGACCAUCCUCCAAGGCUAAAUACUCCUGACUGACCGAUAGUGAACCAGUACCGUGAGGGAAAGGCGAAAAGAACCCCGGCGAGGGGAGUGAAAAAGAACCUGAAACCGUGUACGUACAAGCAGUGGGAGCCUCUUUAUGGGGUGACUGCGUACCUUUUGUAUAAUGGGUCAGCGACUUAUAUUCUGUAGCAAGGUUAACCGAAUAGGGGAGCCGAAGGGAAACCGAGUCUUAACUGGGCGUUAAGUUGCAGGGUAUAGACCCGAAACCCGGUGAUCUAGCCAUGGGCAGGUUGAAGGUUGGGUAACACUAACUGGAGGACCGAACCGACUAAUGUUGAAAAAUUAGCGGAUGACUUGUGGCUGGGGGUGAAAGGCCAAUCAAACCGGGAGAUAGCUGGUUCUCCCCGAAAGCUAUUUAGGUAGCGCCUCGUGAAUUCAUCUCCGGGGGUAGAGCACUGUUUCGGCAAGGGGGUCAUCCCGACUUACCAACCCGAUGCAAACUGCGAAUACCGGAGAAUGUUAUCACGGGAGACACACGGCGGGUGCUAACGUCCGUCGUGAAGAGGGAAACAACCCAGACCGCCAGCUAAGGUCCCAAAGUCAUGGUUAAGUGGGAAACGAUGUGGGAAGGCCCAGACAGCCAGGAUGUUGGCUUAGAAGCAGCCAUCAUUUAAAGAAAGCGUAAUAGCUCACUGGUCGAGUCGGCCUGCGCGGAAGAUGUAACGGGGCUAAACCAUG
Molecule: ribosomal RNA, 935 nt
Filed under: Escherichia coli
Lineage: Bacteria; Pseudomonadati; Pseudomonadota; Gammaproteobacteria; Enterobacterales; Enterobacteriaceae
Description: partial 23S ribosomal RNA
Rfam family: Bacterial large subunit ribosomal RNA
Source: RNAcentral